UGGUUGUGUGAAAGGAGAGAAGGUUAGCACUCCCCUCAACAGGGAUGGAAGAAGCUCUCGGGCCUGACAACACGCAUAUGGUUAAGGCAUUGCCACCUACUUCGGGCAUCUAACCAUCGUUUUUG
RNAcentral lists this non-coding RNA (125 nucleotides) under Carlito syrichta (Philippine tarsier). Lineage: Eukaryota; Metazoa; Chordata; Mammalia; Primates; Tarsiidae. The record is from RNAcentral.